ACGCUCGACACCUACGGGGCAGCAGUGGGGAAUAUUGCACAAUGGGGGAAACCCUGAUGCAGCGACGCCGCGUGAGUGAAGAAGUAAUUCGUUAUGUAAAGCUCUAUCAGCAGGGAAGAAAGUGACGGUACCUGAGUAAGAAGCCCCGGCUAACUACGUGCCUGCAGCCGCGGUAAUCUGAGCGGGCUGGCAAGGC
This 196-nucleotide ribosomal RNA is filed under the name uncultured bacterium. RNAcentral's name for it is "partial 16S ribosomal RNA". It matches the Rfam family "Bacterial small subunit ribosomal RNA", at positions 326 to 539 of the family's 1533-position model. The record is from RNAcentral.